This 372-nucleotide ribosomal RNA is filed under the name uncultured organism. RNAcentral describes it as "partial 16S ribosomal RNA". It matches the Rfam family "Bacterial small subunit ribosomal RNA", at positions 527 to 896 of the family's 1533-position model. The record is from RNAcentral.
GUAGGUGGCAAGCGUUGUCCGGAAUUAUUGGGCGUAAAGCGCGCGCAGGCGGUUCUUCAAGUCUGAUGUGAAAGCCCACGGCUCAACCGUGGAGGGUCAUUGGAAACUGGAGAACUUGAGUACAGAAGAGGAAAGCGGAAUUCCACGUGUAGCGGUGAAAUGCGUAGAGAUGUGGAGGAACACCAGUGGCGAAGGCGGCUUUCUGGUCUGUAACUGACGCUGAGGCGCGAAAGCGUGGGGGAGCAAACAGGAUUAGAUACCCUGGUAGUCCACGCCGUAAACGAUGAGUGCUAAGUGUUAGGGGGUUUCCGCCCCUUAGUGCUGCAGCUAACGCAUUAAGCACUCCGCCCUGGGAGUACGGCCGCAAGGCUG